This 253-nucleotide ribosomal RNA is filed under the name uncultured bacterium. Its description in RNAcentral is "partial 16S ribosomal RNA". It matches the Rfam family "Bacterial small subunit ribosomal RNA", at positions 524 to 776 of the family's 1533-position model. The record is from RNAcentral.
UACGUAGGGUGCGAGCGUUGUCCGGAAUUAUUGGGCGUAAAGAGCUUGUAGGCGGUCUGUCGCGUCUGCUGUGAAAAUCCGGGGCUCAACCCCGGACUUGCAGUGGGUACGGGCAGACUAGAGUGUGGUAGGGGAGACUGGAAUUCCUGGUGUAGCGGUGAAAUGCGCAGAUAUCAGGAGGAACACCGAUGGCGAAGGCAGGUCUCUGGGCCACUACUGACGCUGAGGCGCGAAAGCUAGGGGAGCAAACGGG